This 501-nucleotide ribosomal RNA is filed under the name uncultured Planctomycetota bacterium. Its description in RNAcentral is "bacterial SSU rRNA". It matches the Rfam family "Bacterial small subunit ribosomal RNA", at positions 117 to 643 of the family's 1533-position model. The record is from RNAcentral. Lineage: Bacteria; Pseudomonadati; Planctomycetota.
GUGGGUACCCACCCCGGGGUCCGGGAUAGCCGUCCGAGAGGGCGGGUAAUACCGGAUGACCUCGGGAGAGCAAAGGCUUGUCCGCCCCGGGCGGGGCCCACGUGGUAUCAGGUAGUCGGCGGGGUGACGGCCCACCGAGCCAUAGACGCCUAGCGGGUGUGAGAGCACGACCCGCGCCACUGGCACUGAGACACUGGCCAGACACCUACGGGUGGCUGCAGUCGAGGAUCUUCGGCAAUGGGGGCAACCCUGACCGAGCGACGCCGCGUGUGCGACGAAGGCCUUCGGGUUGUAAAGCACUGUCGAGGGGGAGAAAGGCCGCAAGGCGUGAUCUAUCCCUGGAGGAAGCACGGGCUAAGUUCGUGCCAGCAGCCGCGGUAAGACGAACCGUGCGAACGUUGUUCGGAAUCACUGGGCUUAAAGGGCGCGUAGGCGGGCCGCCGCGUCCGGGGUGAAAUCCUCCCGCUCAACGGGAGAACGGCCUCGGAUACGGGCGGCCUG